GACAUGGCGCUGCCGGGGGGGCCCGACCGCCUCAGCGUCAUCACCUACCUGUGGCAGCUGCGGGGGGUCCUGGACGGGGGGGCGGGCGCCCCCCCUGGUGCCCCCCUGGUGCCCCCCGGCGCCCCCCAGCCCCCGGCAGCCCCCCCAGAGGUGUCGGCGACCGGCGUCGCUGCGAAGGAUGCUGGGAGUUCGGCCAACCCUGGGGCUGCAAAGGAUGCUGGGAGCUCGGCCAACACAGAGGCUGCAAAGGAUGCUGGGAGCUCGGCCAAUGGCAUCGCUGCAAAGGCCGCUGGGAGCUCGGCCAACUUGGAGGCUGCAAAGAAUGCUGGGAGCCUGGCCAAUGGCAUCUCUGCAAAGGAUGCUGGGAACUCGGCCAACGCGGAGGCUGCAAAGGAUGCUGGGAGCUCGGCCAAUGGCAUCG
Molecule: long non-coding RNA, 421 nt
Filed under: Apteryx haastii (Great spotted kiwi)
Lineage: Eukaryota; Metazoa; Chordata; Aves; Apterygiformes; Apterygidae
Description: lncRNA (ENSAHAG00000016328.1)
Source: RNAcentral